This 398-nucleotide ribosomal RNA is filed under the name uncultured microorganism. RNAcentral describes it as "bacterial SSU rRNA". It matches the Rfam family "Bacterial small subunit ribosomal RNA", at positions 9 to 408 of the family's 1533-position model. The record is from RNAcentral.
GAGUUUGAUCAUGGCUCAGGACGAACGCUGGCGGCGUGCCUAAUACAUGCAAGUCGAGCGAGGGUUUUUAAGACCCUAGCGGCGGACGGGUGAGUAACACGUAGGCAACCUGCCUCUCAGACCGGGAUAACAUAGGGAAACUUAUGCUAAUACCGGAUAGGUUUUUGGAUUGCAUGAUCCGAAAAGAAAAGAUGGCUUUUUGCUAUCACUGGGAGAUGGGCCUGCGGCGCAUUAGCUAGUUGGUGGGGUAACGGCCUACCAAGGCGACGAUGCGUAGCCGACCUGAGAGGGUGACCGGCCACACUGGGACUGAGACACGGCCCAGACUCCUACGGGAGGCAGCAGUAGGGAAUUUCCACAAUGGACGAAAGUCUGAUGGAGCAACGCCGCGUCGACGA